Molecule: long non-coding RNA, 470 nt
Organism: Pseudophryne corroboree (corroboree frog)
Lineage: Eukaryota; Metazoa; Chordata; Amphibia; Anura; Myobatrachidae
Exons: 5
Source: RefSeq, a predicted model, not a curated record
UGGACAAUCACUGACUUGCUGUUGGAAGGUUCCAAAAUCCAUUUAUUCAUACUAGGAUCUCUCGUAUGCAUAAGCUCCAUUGUUUGAGCUGACCCUUGAGGUUCUUUUGGGUUGGAAUUAGCCAACUUCAUUAUCUUGAACCUCCUCUAUUGAUGGUUAGAAUUUGGGUAGUCGACUCUCGAGGUUGGAGUGACAGUACCACAAUGGUGGUUAUCGAAUUUUCCUUAUGAAUAUCCUUGAUUGAUUGUCUGGGUCCAUCAAAAUAGUUCUUUUUUGUCAUUAUUUAUAAAAAAUCAGAGACACACCCCUGAUGAAGUCUUGAUAUUAGACGAAACGCGUUGGGCUAUUACUGUUUUCUGAUGUUAUCUCCGAAUACUCUAUAAGGAAGAUUAAAGAUACAGGCAGAAGUUUAUCUGCACCCUUCCACAAAACACAGGAGAUUUGCAUCUUGCUAACUAUGUAAUGUGAUG